RNAcentral lists this ribosomal RNA (380 nucleotides) under uncultured bacterium. RNAcentral's name for it is "bacterial SSU rRNA". It matches the Rfam family "Bacterial small subunit ribosomal RNA", at positions 362 to 760 of the family's 1533-position model. The record is from RNAcentral.
UCUUGCGCAAUGGACGAAAGUCUGACGCAGCCACGCCGCGUGAGUGGAGAAGGCCUUCGGGUUGUAAAGCUCUGUCGGAUGGGACGAACAUCUUCAUAGUGAAUAGCUAUGAGGACUGACGGUACCAUCAAAGGAAGCACCGGCUAACUCCGUGCCAGCAGCCGCGGUAAUACGGAGGGUGCAAGCGUUGCUCGGAAUUAUUGGGCGAAAGGGCAAGUAGGUGGUCUCAUUUGUCUGGGGUAAAGCCUUAGCUAACUCAAGAAGUGCCUCAGAACGGUAGCUCAGUUCUGAGAGGGUCGUGAAUUCCCGGUGAGCGGUAAAUGCGAGUUUUGAGAACACCAUGGCAAGGAGCCCCCUGGCAACUCUGCGUAUGCAAUUGU